Molecule: long non-coding RNA, 288 nt
Filed under: Brassica napus (rape)
Lineage: Eukaryota; Viridiplantae; Streptophyta; Magnoliopsida; Brassicales; Brassicaceae
Description: long non-coding RNA (BNAP_LNC005238)
Source: RNAcentral
GCUACAGCUGGUGCUCGGAUUCCCAAUCUAUGACCAUGAAUGUUGGGGCGGUCAUAAGUGCCAAUGGGUCGAGCUGCUCGCUGUUGGUUUUGUGGAACGUUGUUAGCUCCAUUGACGCCCGCAUCAUUUUGAGGUAUGUCUUCCAUAUCAGUGUCCAAUCUCUGCAAGUGAGCAUGUUGUUCUUCGUCUCUUCUCUUUCUAGCACACUCUCUCUCUAAAGCUCUGAUGUCUGCAGCUCUUGGAACUAGGUUUGAUGGACCCCUGCUCCUCAAGUUCAUACACCUGUAG